RNAcentral lists this ribosomal RNA (253 nucleotides) under uncultured bacterium. Its description in RNAcentral is "partial 16S ribosomal RNA". It matches the Rfam family "Bacterial small subunit ribosomal RNA", at positions 524 to 776 of the family's 1533-position model. The record is from RNAcentral.
GACGUAGGGCGUGAGCGUUGUCCGGAUUUAUUGGGCGUAAAGAGCUCGUAGGCGGUUUGUCGCGUCGUUCGUGAAAACUCACAGCUUAACUGUGAGCUUGCGGUCGAUACGGGCAGGCUAGAGUUCGGUAGGGGAGACUGGAAUUCCUGGUGUAGCGGUGAAAUGCGCAGAUAUCAGGAGGAACACCGGUGGCGAAGGCGGGUCUCUGGGCCGAUACUGACGCUGAGGAGCGAAAGCGUGGGGAGCGAACAGG